GUAGAUAUAGUUUAAUACUAAAAUAAUGGUUUGUGGCACCAUUGAUUCAUUUAUGAUAUCUACC
Molecule: transfer RNA, 64 nt
Filed under: Perinereis vancaurica
Lineage: Eukaryota; Metazoa; Annelida; Polychaeta; Phyllodocida; Nereididae
Description: tRNA-His
Rfam family: tRNA
About the family: Transfer RNA (tRNA) molecules are approximately 80 nucleotides in length. Their secondary structure includes four short double-helical elements and three loops (D, anti-codon, and T loops).
Source: RNAcentral